AGCUUUGCACAGUGGCAGUAUUGUACCCAAUGAUGUUUAUCUGAGACACGAUUAUUGCUAAUUGGAAGCCCAGUGUUUCUUAUGAUAUGCUGCAUAUGAUACUUUAUUUUUGACACUAUUUUCUAUGCAAAUG
Small nuclear RNA from Pantherophis guttatus, 133 nucleotides. RefSeq annotates it as U4 spliceosomal RNA. Lineage: Eukaryota; Metazoa; Chordata; Lepidosauria; Squamata; Colubridae. The record is from RefSeq and is a predicted model, not a curated record.